RNAcentral lists this ribosomal RNA (623 nucleotides) under uncultured Gammaproteobacteria bacterium. Its description in RNAcentral is "bacterial SSU rRNA". It matches the Rfam family "Bacterial small subunit ribosomal RNA", at positions 868 to 1493 of the family's 1533-position model. Lineage: Bacteria; Pseudomonadati; Pseudomonadota; Gammaproteobacteria. The record is from RNAcentral.
UCCCGCUGGGGAGUUCGUCGCAAGACUGAAACUCAAAGAAUUGACGGGCCCGCACAAGCGGUGGAGUACGUGGUUUAAUUCGAUGCAACGCGAAGAACCUUACCUGGCCUUCACAUGUCGAGAACUUUCCAGAGAUGGAUGGGUGCCUUCGGGAACUCGAACACAGGUGCUGCAUAGCUGUCGUCAGCUCGUGUCGUGAGAUGUUGGGUUAAGUCCCGCAACGAGCGUAACCCUUGACCUUAGUUGCCAGCACGUAAUGGUGGGAACUCUAAGGAGACCGCCGGUGACAAACCGGAGGAAGGUGGGGAUGACGUCGAGUCAUCAUGGCCCUUGCGGCCAGGGCUACACACGUACUACAAUGGUAGGGACAUAGGGCUGCAAGCCGGCGACGGUAAGCCAAUCCCAGAAACCCUAUCUCAGUCCGGAUUGGAGUCUGCAACUCGACUCCAUGAAGUCGGAAUCGCUAGUAAUCGCAGAUCAGCAUUGCUGCGGUGAUUACGUUCCCGGGCCUUGUACACACCGCCCGUCACACCAUGGGAGUUUGUUGCACCAGAAGCCGGUAGCUUAACCUUCGGGAGGGCGCUUGCCACGGUGUGCCCGAUGACUGGGGUGAAGUCGUAACA